GGGUACGUGGUCGAGUGGCAAGACGUCCGCAACAAAACUAGCACCUGGCCCGGCGUCUCUGCAGGUUUGACCCCUGUAAUAUGAUUUCUGGGUCAGAACUAGCUCGCCUGCGGGAAAUCCUGAGUUCGAUUCUCAGCGUAUCCA
This is a non-coding RNA of Dothidotthia symphoricarpi CBS 119687, 144 nucleotides long. The record is from the annotation of a RefSeq genome assembly. Lineage: Eukaryota; Fungi; Ascomycota; Dothideomycetes; Pleosporales; Dothidotthiaceae.